Molecule: long non-coding RNA, 388 nt
Filed under: Vulpes vulpes (red fox)
Lineage: Eukaryota; Metazoa; Chordata; Mammalia; Carnivora; Canidae
Description: lncRNA (ENSVVUG00000012647.1)
Source: RNAcentral
UUAAAGUAUCUUGCCAAGAUCUUCAGGUUGGAACUGAAACAGAGUUUUCUCUUAGCUCCUCUGAGCCAAUUUCUAGCAUCCUAUCAGAGAAAAACAACAGCAUCACAUGUGGGGUCAGGAAGAAGUUGCUAGCACUGAAAAGGAGUGCAGACCUUCACUGGACCCCCAGAAGCUGGACUAGGAUUUGGCUUGAGCCAGGACCAGUUACAGGUUUCACUUCUCCACAGUCCUUCAGAGCAGAGAACAUCAAGGAUGUAAUGUUUCAAGGUUAGUCCUCUGAGACACUUUAUUAACUAUCUGAAGAGCUACAGAUCUCAGAUUUCUGAUAGGAAAAGUAGCAAGGAAAUGACCUGCAGAAACUGUAAAAAUGUUUGGUGGCAUGCUAGGC